GAUGAAUGCUGGCGGCGCGCCUAAAACAUGCAAGUCGAACGGCUCUUCCGGGAGCAGUGGCGGACGGCUGAGUAACACGUGGGUAACCUACCCUGGAGUGGGGGACAACCCGCCGAAAGGCGAGCUAAUACCGUAUACGAUAACUGGUCUGAGGCUUUGUGAGGAAAGCCGGAAGGAGCGAUAGGAUGGGCCUGCGGUCGAUUAGCGAGUUGGUGGGGUAAAGGCCUACCAAGGCGAUGAUCGGUAGCUGGUCUGAGAGGAUGAUCAGCCAGUCUGGGACUAUGACACGGCCCAGACUCCUACGGGAGGCAGCAGUUAGGAAUCUUGGGCAAUGGGCGAUAGCCUGACCCAGCAACGCCGCGUGGGUGACGAAGGCCUUCGGGUCGUAAAGCCCUUUUCCCAGGGAAGAUGAUGACGGUACCUGGGGAAUAAGCCCCGGCUAACUACGUGCCAGCAGCCGCAGUAA
Molecule: ribosomal RNA, 466 nt
Filed under: uncultured bacterium
Lineage: Bacteria
Description: partial 16S ribosomal RNA
Rfam family: Bacterial small subunit ribosomal RNA
Source: RNAcentral